Molecule: ribosomal RNA, 253 nt
Filed under: uncultured bacterium
Lineage: Bacteria
Description: partial 16S ribosomal RNA
Rfam family: Bacterial small subunit ribosomal RNA
Source: RNAcentral
UACGUAGGUGACAAGCGUUGUCCGGAUUUACUGGGCGUAAAGAGCGCGCAGGCGGUCGAUCAAGUCGAGUGUGAAAGCCCCCGGCUCAACUGGGGAGGGUCAUUCGAUACUGAUCGACUCGAAGGCAGGAGAGGGUAGUGGAAUUCCCGGUGUAGUGGUGAAAUGCGUAGAUAUCGGGAGGAACACCAGUGGCGAAGGCGACUACCUGGCCUGUUCUUGGCGCUGAGGCGCGAAAGCUAGGGGAGCAAACGGG